This is a long non-coding RNA of Dermacentor silvarum, 5700 nucleotides long. RefSeq lists it as uncharacterized. The transcript is spliced from 3 exons. The record is from RefSeq and is a predicted model, not a curated record. Lineage: Eukaryota; Metazoa; Arthropoda; Arachnida; Ixodida; Ixodidae.
UUGAAGUUGGAGUUGUUCGUAACGCCGACAGUAACCGUACUCUUAAACAUUCCGUCUGGAAUUUUAUGCACUUUUAGACAAAAACAUCGAAAAAAGUUCCUGAGUUAGACAUUCUGAAUGCGUUUAACAAAAUAGACUCUGGUAACAGUAGUAGUGAGUUGUUACCGCAAAUAGACCAUAUACUAGUAUACUUUAGGCACUUAGGCUAUGUUUAGAAGAAAUUCUAUUUGUGGUCUUGUAGACCAAGACAUCUAUAGCCGUUUGUAGCCGUUUCAAGAUGCUUUAAGAGGUUUUGUGUUUCGUGGGAAAGGAGUAAACUUCUGCAACAUCCAUCUUCAGCCAUGACCCAAAUCGCGACUUUCAGGCCAGACCACACUGGCAAACCUUCCGAUUUGCAUGCUUGUUGGUUUCUCGUGUACUGCGAGAUGAACUCUUCGUCAAAAAAAAAAAAAAAAAAAACCUUGAAGUAGUCGACUUCUUUUUCAUCUAGUGCUAAUGUAGAACUGGAUGCUUUUCCAGAAUGAGGGGCUACAAGUAGAAACAAUGAGGGGGAAAAGUCCCUUUCGUCUCAGUCAGCGUCUUCACGCCGCACAUGGUUUUGAGAAGUUGCUUCUUGGUUGGUUUCCUAGUACGAACUGUUUAGAAGUAGUUCCUCGUUUGAAAAGCUGCCAUCCAAUGACUCUGAUUCUGAUUCGGCACUUGGGCAGUAUAGUCCACAUGGGAGGAAUCGCCACUGAACUCACUUGCAGCAUAGCAAUCGGCGCGCACGGCCAUAGCGUAAGCGAACUGUGUAUGUGAGCGCCUGCAAGAAAUCUCUAUGGUUGAGUGUCCUUCAAAAAAAAAAAAAAAAAAGACAAGUGAGAAACUUGUAGUAAUCCUUCGUCCCAUCGCCAAUGAGGGGACGCCAGAUGGUUUGUGAAGCCCAACAGAGACUUGACUUUAUCCGGCUUGGUGCUGAUGCCUAUUGCAAGAUAACCAUGCCCUAGGCAUGCGACUUCGGUUUGACGAAAAGAGCACUUGUAAUUGUUGAGGGUAACACCUGUGUCUUGCAAAUUCUUUAACACUCGCCGUAGAUUAGUAUCAUGUUCUCUAAUUGUCUUUCCUGAGGCGAUGUCGUCUUGCAGACACUUCACUCCGUCCACUCCUUCCACCACUUGGAGCAUCUCACGUCGGUACAACUCUGGUGCCGUGGAGGUUCCGAAGAGAAGUGUCAAGAACUGGAACCUCCCAACUAGUCUGAUGAAGGAUGUACACUUGCGAGAGUCCUUGGCCAAAGAAACAGUACCCUGCUCGCGCAUCUAGGAGGCUGAAAACUGUUGCACCUGCUAGUUUUGCCAUGCACUUGUCGACUGUAGGCUUAGGCGCAUAUUCACGAAUGAUAUCUGCUGAUUCAGCUGGCCAUAGUCAAUGCAGAUCUGGACCUUGUUGUUCUUUUACCGUGCAAUGACUAUUGGGAAAGAACAUUUUCUUGCUUGCUCUACCUUCUGGGUGACUCACAUCUCCUCCAACCUCUUUAGCUCUUUUAAAAGUGGUGGUAGUGGAAGUGGCAUGCACCUAGUGUAUAGGUGACUGCUUAGGGUUUGGCAUCGUUCUUGACUUUUAUGCAGUACACUGUCUUCAUGAGUCCAAGCCGGGACAUUAGCUUGGGGUAUGGAGCCAGAAGGUCAGAAACGUCAGUUGCUUUCUUGCAUGUUUCAACCAACUUGAGAGGGCGUUGCAGAAUGUCAAGUGACUCUAUGGCUGGCCGACUAAGCAGCACUUCUUUUAAUCCUUUGAUGUUAACAACUGUUUCGUGGAUUUUAGUGCCUCGCCAGGCAAUUGCUGCAUUGAUGUAGCCAACAGUGGUGAUCGCUGUCUGGCCUGGGCCUAUCAGAUGCUGUUUUGUUGCCUGGAUGGAUCAUGUGAUGUUAAAAUCAUACUGGUCGUGUGCAAUUGCAAUCACAUCCGUGCCAUUGUUGACUUUGAAGUUAAAGGUUAACUUGUUAAGAGUGACAGUUUUCUGCCAAGCUGUGGUUGACCCUGCUUUGAUUUAUCCUAAAUAUAGUUUGUCUAGGCCUUCUGUUCAUUCUUGAAAGCAUGAAGCCCUAUCGUUGGGCUUCAACAGACAGACAGAGAUACAUACGAACUGGCGCCAUCCUCAUCGUCAUUGUGGUGGAGGAGUGACGUGAACAGCACACCGGCCGCGUGUUGCAUACUGACUCUUUAAUAGACGUUCCACCAAUAUAUACAAGCACAGGGACACAGUGUUGCCCACCUAAACAUUGAAACCGAAACCAGGUAAAAUAUGUACAGGAGACAACACUGACCUAGUCUGUCAGCAUGUGUUGCUGUCCUGACCUUCACAAACACAUGGUGACCGGGUGUCCCACUGCUGUAGCUGGAUGACGAUGGGGUUGCCUGUCCAUGCCUCCGUUCGUAUGGGUUCCGGUGAUUGGCUGGGUAAGGCAAUCACUUGCCUUUUAUGAUGCAUGGUGCCACUGCUUGUUUGAAGAGUGUAGGACCUUGGUACUCAGGCAGUGUCUGCACUGAUCGCUGCGGGAAAAGUGUCUGCACUUUUCUCGCAGCUGUUCCUGGGAUUGUUUUUGUCACAUUUCUCUCGCUUGGGUAGCAGUUGCUGAAUGGUCUUCACCAAGACAACCAAUUUGGAAAGUGAUUCAGAAAUAGGUGCUUCUUUAGCUGCUCGUUCUUCCAUUAAAGUUAUUGAAGCCAGUGCAGAUGAUCACUGUUCGAAGGGGAAAGGUCCAAAAAGGAAACAACCUUGGUCUGCUCCAGCUCUUGGGAAUUAGUACAAACAGUUCACUGAAAACACCACUGAUCAAAGCCUCAGUUCACCGAGAACACCAUUAACUCAUCAAAACCUAGCCAACAAGGAUUCUUCACGACGUGGCUCGACCUAGUUUGUCGGCAUAUGUUUCUGAGGUGAGGUGCUUUUUUAGCUGCUCGUUCUCCCAUUGUAGUUGUUCAAGCUACUGCAGAUAUGAUCACUGUUCAAAGGAUAAAUGUCCAAAGAGGAAACGUCCUUGCUCUAUUCCAGCUUUUGGGAAUGAGUACAAACAGUUCACUGAAAACACCACUCACUCAUCAAAGCACCUGUUCACUGAGAACACCACUAACUCAUCAAAACCUAUCCAACAAGGCUUCUUCACGAUAUGGCUCGACCUAGUCUGUCGGCAUAUGUUUCUCAGGUGAGGUGCUGUUUUAGCUGCUCGUUCUCCCAUUCGAGUUGUUCAAGCCACUGCAGAUGAUCACUGUUCGAAGAGGAAAUGUCCAAAGAGGAAACAUGCUUGCUCUGCUCCAGCUUUUGAUUUUCAUCAGGUAUGGUAUUCUUCUCGUCCUCUGGUUCCACUGAAAUCACACCAUCGUGAACCAUAGGCUGUUCUGGUUCCAACGUGACACUGUCCCAGUCAUGACAAAAACGGCAAGUUACAUUUUUGGUAGGGCAUUCAGAAUGAAUCUGGAAUUCUCGGCCACAAUAUCUGCAUGACUUGAGUCUGGCCUCUGGCUUUCGGCUGGUGAUCGGCUUGCCUUGUUUUGGCUUUCUUCUGUUUUUGUCUGCGUCGCCGGCUGCAGGCUCUACUAGCACUUUCAGCUCGCUUUGUUGUUUCUUUACAGUCUCGCUAAUCCUACCCCUGGUGACUGCGGUUGCCAAAGUAAGCUUCGGGUCCAUUUGAAGAGCCUCUCCUCAUCCCGGAAGCCAACUACAAUCCUGUCGCGAACCAUGCACUCUUUCUUUGAAUUUGCAGCAGCUUACAAGCUCGUUAAGAGUGGUGACAAACUCGCCGACUAUUUUGCCUGUCUCUUGUUUGCGCUGGUUGAAGCGUGCGCUCUCAUAAACCACGUUCUUUGUAUGAACAAAGUGCACUUGAAACUUCUGUUUAACAGCAUCAAAACGUUCGAGCUCUUGUAGCAUAACGGUAAAAUUUUGCGUGCCUUCCGACCCAUGGUGUACAGCAACGUUCUUGCUUGUUUUUUGCCAUCCUUUUCCUGGAGGCUCAACGCGUAGCUGUAGUCUUCUAUCCAGGUGGGCCAGUCACUGGGGCUGGUGAAGUCGAAGAGGUCCGGCGGCUUGAGGCUAGCCAAAAUUAGCACGAUAAAGCUGCCACUUCUGAUACCAUGUCAGGUACUGAGGCAUGUGUGAGAAUGACUUUAUUGCAAAAUGGUGUCCUUAAAUAUACAGUGUCUGUCAUUCCCUGAGGCCCUCUACCGGGGAACACGGUAUAUUACAAUGAGCACAUAAAACACAUCGAGCUAUGCCCACCUAGAAGAAGACAUGCUCUUUUACUAGGUGGGCUCCUUCUCUUCAUCGCUCCUUGUUAGAGAAGGAGUGAUGAAAAAGCAACCCUUUCAGAAUUUACAAAAACUGAGCUUCUAGAAAUACACGGUAGAUGGCAGAACCACUUGGGAGUUCGCGAACUGCGUGUUAGUGCUCACAUCUGAGUGGAGAGAAAGUAUGGGUACAUCCUGUGACAUGGCGGGAGAGAAACAUGGAAAGGUAUGUCAUAGUCGAAAGGCCUUCUCUGCUCUGCGGCAAAGGCCCCACUGUGUUGAUUACCAGUCGUCGGAACGACUGAGAUCAGGGGAACCAACUUUAAAGGCGUUUUGCAUUUAUCUCCCGGCUUCUCAACUCGCCAACACGCAUCACACGAUCUUACAUAGUUCUCGACAUCCUUAAAACAUCCAGGCCAGUAAUAUUCUAACAAAAGCCUCUCUUUUGUUUUGUUGAUUCCUAGAUGACCCAACCAGCCAUUUCUGUGCCACAAAGUCAGAUCAGCUCGAUACCUGGUACAAUUAGCUGAUCAAGAAUCUGGCCUAUACAAUCUCUGUAGUGUCUGUACAGGACUCUUCUGUUUUCGUGGUUGGUUACAUUGCAUCUAGCGAUACCCUCUUUCUUGUCGAAGUGCAAACAUGUUAGACUCAGGCUUUCUUUUGCUCUGCACUGAGCAGCACUCUAUCUGCCUGCAAUAGCCUGUCAAAGCUCCUAGAGGCAAGUGACAGCACCGAGCCCUUUUCCACAGCUUUCAUUUCUACUGACGUUGUUUCUGUGUUACGCUAGUUUCCUUCGAGUAUUAUUUCAACUGGCACCUCCACUGUCGCACUGUUUGCUUUUCCCUCAAUUGGUCAUAAUCUCUAUUUUGGGAAGGGCUUCAUCGUGUCCUGCUACGUCUGAUCUCAGAUUCUUCAUUAGCUUAGCAGUAAUCUGGCGGGCUUGCGAGUGGGCUAAUGCAUAUUCUUCUCCGAACUCCUGACCGCACUUGUGCAACAAUUAAAUGAGCCAACAAAUGUCACUCGUGCUACCGGCAGGCACACACUAUGCUCUUCUAGUACUGCCUUAAUCCAAGUUACUUCCUCUGUAAAGUCUUCGGCUCAUACUAAACAAGGGUGAACUAGGACCAUGGUCCCUCUGCUAUCCCUAAUACCCUACAUGCUUUUCCGUUUACCUGCAUCUCCUGAAGAUAUGGACGAAGAAGCUCCAAACUUUCGUUGCUUCCACUACUGUAUGGAAGUACUACUGCCUUUUUCUUACAUUGCGAAGCAUAGUGCCCUAGUCCGUCACAAAUUUAACACCAUACGGGUUGUCUCUUCUCUAAUUAUUUCGUGAUUACCUUCACUGUCACUUCCUCCGUGGAGUGACUAGCGCAGUUAUCCGGGCUGUUUCUGGGGUCUUUUUCACAGAUUCGACCUGCUCGGUAGGCUUCACCU